UUUAGACUCCUCAGGGGAACCUGUUUCAUAAUCGAUAAUCCACGUUAAACCUUUCCUUUUUUGAUAUGUAGUAUGUAUACCGUCGUCGUCAGGUAACUUUUCAGAAUUAAGAAGUUAGCGAUCAAAUUCAUUAUAAAUUUUGACGUCAGAUCAAGGUGCAGCCCAUAAAAAGGUGAAAAUGGGUUACAAUUAAAAUUAAUAAUUAUGAAUAAAGAUUAGUAUAAUUUUUUGAA
Molecule: ribosomal RNA, 233 nt
Filed under: Aylacostoma stigmaticum
Lineage: Eukaryota; Metazoa; Mollusca; Gastropoda; Thiaridae
Description: partial 12S ribosomal RNA
Source: RNAcentral